GCCCUUGUAGCUCAGUUGGUAGAGCACAUCCUUGGUAAGGAUGAGGUCGGCGGUUCAAAUCCGCUCGAGGGCUCCA
RNAcentral lists this transfer RNA (76 nucleotides) under Verrucomicrobia bacterium TMED71. RNAcentral's name for it is "tRNA-Thr". It matches the Rfam family "tRNA". Rfam says of the family: Transfer RNA (tRNA) molecules are approximately 80 nucleotides in length. Their secondary structure includes four short double-helical elements and three loops (D, anti-codon, and T loops). Further hydrogen bonds mediate the characteristic L-shaped molecular structure. tRNAs have two regions of fundamental functional importance: the anti-codon, which is responsible for specific mRNA codon recognition, and the 3' end, to which the tRNAs corresponding amino acid is attached (by aminoacyl-tRNA synthetases). tRNAs cope with the degeneracy of the genetic code in two manners: having more than one tRNA (with a specific anti-codon) for a particular amino acid; and 'wobble' base-pairing, i.e. permitting non-standard base-pairing at the 3rd anti-codon position. RNAcentral also lists the same sequence under 2 other names. Lineage: Bacteria; Pseudomonadati; Verrucomicrobiota. The record is from RNAcentral.